Oncorhynchus keta (chum salmon) is the source of this 782-nucleotide long non-coding RNA. RefSeq lists it as uncharacterized. Lineage: Eukaryota; Metazoa; Chordata; Actinopteri; Salmoniformes; Salmonidae. The record is from RefSeq and is a predicted model, not a curated record. The transcript has 3 exons.
GAUGCGAUUCGGUUCCCGACGAUCACCAAAAAGAGCCGCCCAAGAACAGCCGCUCGUUCGCUAACGACCAAUUACUAUCAUUCAGUAACAAUAUGGUGAUGAAAACAGGCUAGAUAGCUCUCUAAAUUUGUUAACCAUGACAAAGACAUGUUGGACAUUCAUUAAACGCUUCAGUGAGCUUAAAGAAUUGCAGAGUGAACAUGGCUUCACCCCAGGCCCUCAACCUUUCUUGCCAGAUGCUCUUUUGCUAGAUGCCCACCUGAGAAGACGUCACAUGCUUAUCUUAAGAAAUACGGAUGGCUUGCUGAUUCUGUACUCAUGUACGGCUGUGUCUGGUAUGAAUCAGUUGAGCCCACUGAGGGAGCUGAAAGUGGAAAAGGCUGUUACGGUUAGGCGUUGCCCAUAGUGCCAAAGUCUGAGCCCGAUCGGACUAAAUCUCUUGUGUCCCCAAACCACAACCAACCGUGAUGGAAUCAUUGCUCUGCUACACCAGCCGGUGCAAAGAAUCCCCACAAGAAUCUGUCGGACUCUGGAGAGAAGCGCUACAUGUUAUUCAGUCUCCCUGUAAAUAGUACACUUAUUUUAACCUAGAUUUAAACAAAAUAUAAUAUACAUCUAUGUUUUCACAUGCUGAAAUUAGUCAUGUAUUAUUUAUUUGUUAUUUAAUUGUUUGACAGAAGUACAUUUCUGAAAUCACUCUACCAUCUUUAUUAUUUAAACAUCUUUAUUUUAGUCAUGUAAUGAAUAUGCAUUUUACUAAAUAUACAUUUGUGAUAUUGAUA